This 723-nucleotide long non-coding RNA is filed under the name Struthio camelus australis. RNAcentral describes it as "lncRNA (ENSSCUG00000002853.1)". Lineage: Eukaryota; Metazoa; Chordata; Aves; Struthioniformes; Struthionidae. The record is from RNAcentral.
CUGCUUGUGUGUGUGUCUGUGUGUGUGUACACUCAUGUGGGAGGCUACUCUUGGAGGUGCUGCGGCAGUGUAACUGUGGACACUGGAGAGAGGUUGUCCACACUGGAAAGCUGCAGAGCAGGAAAGAUGCUGCUGAGUGCCCCUGAGAAGGGACCCUGCGUGUGUCCUUCCCAGCCAGAGCACAGCCUAGAGGGAUGUGAUUGGUGAAGAAGGGUGUCACCACCAGCAAGGAUGGCCCUGGAGAACAGACAGGGCUGCUGGGUCCUGAAGCUAAGCAGAAGAGCCCUGGAUCAACAUCUGGAUGGGAGACAACAGCACUCUGCUACCUUCUCUACUUUACUCAUGGCAACAAGUGCUGGGGAAGCACUGGAAGGAGAGAGAGGCCAGCACAAGCUGUGGCCAAGCACAGCCCUGCGGAGCCCUAAAGACAGGGAGGUGGAUUUCGCUUUGCCUUUCUGUCCUUUCCAGUAUCAGGAGGCCGAGAGGAUGACCCAAACCAUGCCACCACCAAGUCCAUGGCCACCCCUGAGUGCGGUGUUGGGCCCUUCCUGGCUCCUGGGAUACCUCCUCCAGAGGGAGGUGGUAGGCUUAGGCCCUAGCUAGGUUGUGCUGUGCCAUAGAUUUUAAAUUUAGAAAUUGUUCAGAUUUGUACUUUGAAAAAAAUCCAUGGGGCAUUAAAUAUUUACAGAAAAUCAGCAGCUAUGUAAAUAAUAGAAAAAGCCA